UUUUCUUGUUAAAGUUUACAGAAACUCUGCUUUCCCUGCACACCCUCACCACUUAUCUUAUAUUCAGCUGUGAGCUUUUAAAGUCCUGACAUCCUUUAUUAAGCAAACGCAAAUACAAACACACAGUGGGUCCCCAUCUUGGCCCUGAUUGUAACCACCUGAGAACUUUAACGUCCACGGGGCAGCCCCCUCUUCAGACCCUAGAAUUUAUCAUUUAAUUGCCCAGGACAUGAGUUGGUUUUGUGUUUUUUGUUCCCAGGUGAUUCUAAUAGGCACCUCAUGUGGAAAACCACUCACAGGGUUUAACAAAGAAAACAUUUGGAAUAACCCAAACUUUCCUCCGUUUUGGGGGUGACUAUUCAAGCAGCCUUGCCUCUUGCUCUUCGAUUGGCUCUCCCAUUAGUGCCCUUCCCUUGAGCAUGGCUGUCCUCACCCCGACUCAGCCCCAAAGUUUUGAGGCUCCCAUUAAAAAUUCCAGACCAAGAACAGGUGAGAGAUUCCAGGCAGGGAAGUAACGUGCCUGACAUCCACGGAACCAGUUCCUCCCAGAGGUGGCACUGCUGACUCUCUGUUCACAGCCACUUACACUACCAUCCCUGCAGAAAUGGGGUGCUACAGAGAAUGUCCUUAGCAAACUUUCAGAGACAAGGCUAUUUUAGAGCGCAAGAGCAAAAACCCAUUCAACCUGGCAAAAAUCACAGAGUCUUAGAAAGAAUCAGGAUCUUACAGAGCUCCAGUCAGGCCUCAUUGGGAACUGGAACCAGCAAUUGGAAAAGCAGCAGGAACCUAGACAGUUAUUGUCCCUCGUGUGGGUGUGUGUAUGUGUCUCCAGGCUACUUUCUCUCUGCUUCCCUUUGCACACGAAGCUGCUGGAGCAGGAACCUGGUCAGCCCUUUCGGUCAGGUGUCCACCCCUUCUCCCUCCAGGAACGAGCAGGGAGCGGAGCCAGUUGUAGAAACAUGGGAAGAAAGUUUGAGGACGGUGGCUAACUGCCGCUGGGGACCUACGUCAGAGCUUGAACUGACCUCCCCUCAAGGGUUCUCAUAUGGGCACAGAACCUAGAGCUCAUUCAGUGCAACGCCCUCAUGUUCCUGGGUGUCUGUCACCGGUUCUGUGUCUACUGAUGCGCAGGCAUAAAUCUCCAAUUUUUCAACAACUUAUUUACAGAAAGAAUCGCGAAGCCGCUGACCUCAGACUCGCAUCUCUGAGGAACCUGACUUUGGAUUUUAGCCUACGUGUUAAACCUCAGGAAAUUUUAUACAUGGGCAAGGAACACAGGACCCAAGACAAGCAGACUGAUCGUCAAGCCGCUGUCUCAAUUUUUUUAAAUGUUCUUGAGAACAUUUGACGUGUUCUUCGAGCCAAAGCAAUAGCUUCUUGUUUGGUGAGCAUGUUUUCCGAGACAAUACGAGGCUCGACUUUAAAAUUUACCCAAAUAAAAGUGUGUGUGCAUGUCUGUUAA
RNAcentral lists this long non-coding RNA (1462 nucleotides) under Equus asinus (donkey). Its description in RNAcentral is "lncRNA (ENSEASG00005027321.1, ENSEASG00020010837.1)". Lineage: Eukaryota; Metazoa; Chordata; Mammalia; Perissodactyla; Equidae. The record is from RNAcentral.